AUGACGUUGAUAGGUUGGGUGUGUAAGCGCUGUGAGGCGUUGAGCUAACCAAUACUAAUUGCCCGUGAGGCUUGACCAUAUAACACCCAAGCAAUU
Molecule: ribosomal RNA, 96 nt
Filed under: Pseudomonas sp. WS 5059
Lineage: Bacteria; Pseudomonadati; Pseudomonadota; Gammaproteobacteria; Pseudomonadales; Pseudomonadaceae
Description: partial 23S ribosomal RNA
Rfam family: Bacterial large subunit ribosomal RNA (bases 1-79)
Source: RNAcentral